UAAGCUUAAUUGUAAAAAAUUAAAAAAUUAGUUUUCUUGUUUUAGGUUUGGUUUCUACGAGCCCGAAUUGUCAUUGUAUUUAAU
This 84-nucleotide transfer RNA is filed under the name Prasiola crispa. RNAcentral's name for it is "tRNA-Ile". The record is from RNAcentral. Lineage: Eukaryota; Viridiplantae; Chlorophyta; Trebouxiophyceae; Prasiolales; Prasiolaceae.